CUCGUGGGCGGUUCGUCGCGUCCGGUGUGAAAGUCCAUCGCUUAACGGUGGAUCCGCGCCGGGUACGGGCGGGCUUGAGUGCGGUAGGGGAGACUGGAAUUCCCGGUGUAACGGUGGAAUGUGUAGAUAUCGGGAAGAACACCAAUGGCGAAGGCAGGUCUCUGGGCCGUCACUGACGCUGAGGAGCGAAAGCGUGGGGAGCGAACA
RNAcentral lists this ribosomal RNA (207 nucleotides) under uncultured bacterium. Its description in RNAcentral is "partial 16S ribosomal RNA". It matches the Rfam family "Bacterial small subunit ribosomal RNA", at positions 568 to 774 of the family's 1533-position model. The record is from RNAcentral.